UCCUAGCCCCGAUGGGAACGGCAUCCUUUUUUGUCUUAUCUGAAAAAUUAUAUUGAAGACUUAACUUCUAAGACAAAAAAGAUACAGUGGACAGCGGGAUUAAGC
RNAcentral lists this small RNA (105 nucleotides) under Epilithonimonas zeae. RNAcentral describes it as "Chryseobacterium zeae Flavo-1 RNA". It matches the Rfam family "Flavo-1 RNA". Lineage: Bacteria; Pseudomonadati; Bacteroidota; Flavobacteriia; Flavobacteriales; Weeksellaceae. The record is from RNAcentral.